GGGCAGGAAGACAGGUGGUGCAUGGUUGUCGUCAGCUCGUGUCGUGAGAUGUUGGGUUAAGUCCCGCAACGAGCGCAACCCCUAUUGUUAGUUGCUACCAUUAAGUUGAGCACUCUAGCGAGACUGCCCGGGUGAACCGGGAGGAAGGUGGGGAUGACGUCAAAUCAUCAUGCCCCUUAUGUCUAGGGCUACACACGUGCUACAAUGGCGAGUACAACGAGACGCAAUACCGCGAGGUGGAGCAAAACUUAAAAAACUCGUCCCAGUUCGGAUUGUAGGCUGAAACUCGCCUACAUGAAGCCGGAGUUGCUAGUAAUCGCGAAUCAGAAUGUCGCGGUGAAUACGUUCCCGGGCCU
RNAcentral lists this ribosomal RNA (356 nucleotides) under uncultured bacterium. RNAcentral's name for it is "bacterial SSU rRNA". It matches the Rfam family "Bacterial small subunit ribosomal RNA", at positions 1024 to 1381 of the family's 1533-position model. The record is from RNAcentral.